UUCUUUCUAGAAACACUGAAUCUCCUGGGAAAAUUAAAAGAACACAAUCUCCUAGAAUUCUGUGACCAUGGAAACAGAAGACUAUAGAGCCCUCUCAUCAGAUGAAAAAUCCAGUUGCCCACUGAUGUCAUAAAGGACACUUAUAAUACCAAAUACACUUAUUCAAAAGAUAAAGUUAGGGACUACAAAUUAACCAUUGGAGUUUGCAGGAACAAACCCUCAAAAGACUUCCUAAAAUGUAAGCUUUCUUAAGGAGCUAAACUACAGCCCUUGAGAUAUGAACCUAUCAAUUUCCACUACCAACAUCAUACUGGUCAGCUCUCUCACCACUGAUCAGCUAUGUCCCCUCAACCAUCACUAUUUUCAAAGAUGGAACACCAUGGAACAAAAUAAGAACAGGAGUUAUGGUAGCAUUUCAGAUGGAAUCAUUUAUUUCUCCAGGAUGUCUUAGUUUUGUGUUGUUAUAACAGAAUGCCAUAAACUGGGUAAUUUAUAAAGAACAGAGUUUUCUUUCUUACAGUUCUGGAGGCCAGGAUGUCCAAGAAUGAGGGCCCAUAUCUGGCAAGGGCUUUCUUGCUGUAUAACAUCGAAGCCAGAAUUAGACAGGCAGUCAGUACAGAUAAGUAAAUAGAGUCAGGUCAGAUUGAGUCAUGCCAUUUUGAGUGAGUAGAGUCAGGUCAGAUUGAAUCAAACCAAUUUUGAGUGAGUCUCGGGAAAUGCAGACUAUCCCCGGUGGGAUUAAAUUGUUAAUUCCUUCAGAGCCCUUUCUCCACCCUUAUCAAGAACAUGCCCCUGCCCCAACCUGUUGUUAAGGUAACCUGUCCAAGGAAUUGCCCCUCCUUACAGGAAACUAUAAGGUUAUUAAUUAAUGUGUCCUGGGCUGCACCAUCCUGCCCUUCCCCCCUUCAGCCCACUUG
RNAcentral lists this long non-coding RNA (917 nucleotides) under Marmota monax (woodchuck). The record is from RNAcentral. Lineage: Eukaryota; Metazoa; Chordata; Mammalia; Rodentia; Sciuridae.